GGGAACCCUGAUCCAGCCAUGCCGCGUGUGUGAAGAAGGCCCUAGGGUUGUAAAGCACUUUCAGUGGGGAAGAAGGCAUGAUGAUUAAUACCCGUCAUGAAGGACAUCACCCACAGAAGAAGCACCGGCUAACUCCGUGCCAGCAGCCGCGGUAAUACGGAGGGUGCAAGCGUUAAUCGGAAUUACUGGGCGUAAAGGGCGCGUAGGCGGCUUGCCAAGCCGGAUGUGAAAGCCCCGGGCUCAACCCGGGAACGGCAUUCGGAACUGGCAGGCUAGAGUGCAGGAGAGGAAGGUGGAAUUCCCGGUGUAGCGGUGAAAUGCGUAGAGAUCGGGAGGAAUACCAGUGGCGAAGGCGGCCUUCUGGACUGACACUGACGCUGAGGCGCGAAAGCGUGGGUAGCAAACAGGAUUAGAUACCCUGGUAGUCCACGCCGUAAACGAUGUCGACCAGCCGUUGGACCCCUUGAGGGUUUGGUGGCGCAGUUAACGCAAUAAGUCGACCGCCUGGGGAGUACGGCCGCAAGGCUAAAACUCAAAUGAAUUGACGGGGGCCCGCACAAGCGGUGGAGCAUGUGGUUUAAUUCGAUGCAACGCGAAGAACCUUACCUGCUCUUGACAUCCUGCGAAUCUCCCAGAGAUGGGAGAGUGCCUUCGGGAGCGCAGAGACAGGUGCUGCAUGGCUGUCGUCAGCUCGUGUUGUGAAAUGUUGGGAUAAGUCCCGUAACGAGCGCAACCCCUAUUCCCUUUUUUGCCAGCGGUCCGGGCCGGGAACUUCAGGGAGACUGCCGGUGACUAAACCGGAGGAGGUGGGGACGACGUCAAGUCAUCAUGCCCCUUA
RNAcentral lists this ribosomal RNA (838 nucleotides) under Halomonas sp. YCSA44. RNAcentral's name for it is "bacterial SSU rRNA". It matches the Rfam family "Bacterial small subunit ribosomal RNA", at positions 376 to 1204 of the family's 1533-position model. Lineage: Bacteria; Pseudomonadati; Pseudomonadota; Gammaproteobacteria; Oceanospirillales; Halomonadaceae. The record is from RNAcentral.